Molecule: long non-coding RNA, 2177 nt
Organism: Drosophila montana
Lineage: Eukaryota; Metazoa; Arthropoda; Insecta; Diptera; Drosophilidae
Exons: 2
Source: RefSeq, a predicted model, not a curated record
UGGAUAACCUGCUUCAACUGUACUCUACUCACAAUGAACGACAACAAUGCAACAUAUUCGGGGCGAUUGAGCUCCAGAUAUCCGGAGAUGCCCAGAAGGUUCCUAGAAUGCUGCAAAUCAACAACUGGUCCCAACUGAGGGAAGCUUUAAUCUCCGAAUACAAGACGCAAACACCCGUGGAAGAACUACUGCGAAGACUAUAUAAUACCAAUUAUCAAGGAGGACGAAGUUCCAAAACAGGACAUAUAACAUUCAUUUUUCUGGCACUAAUGAUGUCAACACUAUUACCAGGAAGUAAUAACCAGUUUAUAGAUAUUAACCCUAUUAAAUCAAAUAAGGACUUACUCUUUAAAAUAGGCAUGAUAGACAUACCCGAUAAUUACGAGCACCAUUGUCUCACAAUAAAUUUAACAAAGACAGAAGACACAUAUGACAAAUUAAUGUUACAAACAAACAAAUUUAAGGACAGAAUACAAAUUCAAUAUUUGACAGAAAAGUUGCAAAGAGAAAUAAACGGUAUCCGAAUAGUAAAAAGAAGUAAGAGAGGAUUACUUAAUUUCGUAGGAACAACAUACAAAUACUUAUUUGGAACUUUAGAUAACAACGAUAAGGAGGAACUUGAAGAAAAAAUGAAUUCAAUAGCUCAAAAUAGUAUUCAAAUAAACGAACUCAACCAUGUAAUUGAAGCGGUCAACCAAGGAAUAGAAAUAGUAAACAAAGAAAGAGAAGAAAGAGAAGAAUUUAAAGUACUGGAACUACUUGCAUUCAACUUACAACAAUUCACAGAAUAUAUUGAAGAUUUAGAAAUGGGAAUGCAACUAACUAGAUUGGGAAUUUUUAAUCCAAAAUUAUUAAAACACGACUAUCUCACAAACGUUAAUUCCGAAAAGCUACUUAACAUAAAAACAUCUACUUGGCUUAGAUCAGAUACGAAUGAAAUUUUGAUUAUUUCACACAUUCCUAGAGAAAUAAAUAAAACCCCAUUAUACGAAAUUCUACCCUACCCGGACGAUGAUAAAAAUAUUUUACAAGACGAAACACAAUACAAAUACUACUCACAUAAUAAUAAUUUAUACAACAAGGACAAGAAAAAAUUAACUAUUAACCAAUGCAUAUUAGGUAUAAUAAAACAAACUAACACUAGUUGCAGAUUUUCAAAAACACAUCUAAUAACACAAACUAACUAUAUCGAACCAAAUAUACUUAUAACAUGGAACUUACCCAAAAUCACAUUGAAUCAAAACUGUAUUAAAAAUGAUAUCUUAAUUGAGGGAAAUAACAUAAUAAAAAUUCAUAAUUGCUCAGCAAUACUUAAUGAGAUAUCUAUAAGCAAUUUGAACUCAGACUACACACAGAGUAUAUACGUAAGAAAUAAUAUUACUAAAUUAAAGCCACUUUCGUACAUUCAAACAAAAGAAAUAAUUUUCGAAAAUAUUAAAGAAAUGAAAAUAUUCCAAAUUAUAAUAAUUACAGUAUUUGUAAUCAUCAUAUUAAUCAUAAUAAUGUAUCUAGCAUAUAAGUUUAAAAAUAUACCCAAACAAAUAUUUAUUAAGAAACUAAAUGUUAUUGAUCAGCCACCUGCACAACUCCCAGUUGAACUUGAAAUUGAAAAUGAACAAGAAAAUUUAAAUAUGUUACCAAAAUUGUAUCCUAGCAUUUAAAGAAUAUUUUUUAUUAUACUUACCUUUUUCAUAUACCCUACACGCGUGAGGACACGCUUUAUUUUUAGUGGGGAGGAGUGACAUAUUCACAACAACAGCAUUUUGAACCACUGUUAUUCAUAAGCUACAUUGCAUGGCAUAACCCACUGUGUGUUUACAAAUUGAAUAAUCAUAACAAUAACAUGCCUUCUGCAUCCGAAUUCAAAUAACGCUAACAGCAGCAAAAAUCCUAAGAGCAGAAUGCCUUCUGCAGCCAAGCUCACAUAUUGUCAACAAUCAUUUAUAAACAAAAACUGACCAACAGAAUCUCUGCAGCCGAGCUCACAUAUUGUCAACAAUCAUUUAUAAACAAAAACUGAUCAACAGAAAGGCGCUAGCAUAAACAAGCUGCAGCCGCUGUCCCUUUGCAAAAAGUCACGUACUCCAAUUAUUAUUUAGCUUUAAAUAUAGCGUAAGCCAAUUUUUGUACUUCAGUCUUAAUCCAGAUAUUCAACAUAAUAAACUGAUAAAAAUUCA